GUGUAGAAACAAUGAUACAGCAAAAAAAGAACAAAGAGGGUUUUUAUUAUUCAAUAAAGAAAAAAAAGUUUAUUUUAUUGUGAAAGUGCAUGAUAUUCUAGGCUGCCCAUGAAAGCUUUUUUUUCAGUGUACAUAUCAGCCUAUAGUUAAUAUAGCAAUAUCUACAGAAUAAAUAUUUAGACUUUUUCUCCUUACAAUACAACACACACACACACACACGAAGCGCUGAACUCGAGCUUUAAUAGAAAUCUAACGUACCGAGAGUGAGCUGUCCAAAGACCUCGUCUACAGUCCAAAUGAUUGCUUGUUCAGAUUGGAACACUAAAGCACACACUCAGACCUUGAAUAUUCAUUCUUAAGAAACUCUUUUGUAAUACGGGUACAUGGUUUGCCCAUUGAGUGAGUGAUGAUGUAAUGUAUGUAUAGCUGUGAUGAUGAUGAGACACAAAACACAGUCCCAUUUGAGCGUUUCAUUGAUGCAUCCUAAUUUAUAUACUGAUCCUCAAACGUACGACAGUGAAGAAUGUGAAAAGUUUACUGUGUCUAUAAGCAGUGUCAUCGACGAGCUGAACUCAGUAGUUUGCUUAGUAGUUUACGCUUCUGUUUAAAGCGCAAGACACAAACCCCAAUCCGUUUUAGUAGGUUGAACUACUAAAAUCUUUCACAACAUUAAAAGUUGUUCAUUGGUACCUCGUCAAAUGUUUGAGUGGCAGUUUAAUUUAUGUGUUUGUAAAUGUCUUUUAUUUGACUGUGUAAUUUGUCUGUGUAAUGUUUAUUGCUAGAAUGUAAAAUCAGACGAUCAGGGUUUUAAUCAUGUGAGAUGUGGAAGAAAGUCACAAUAGUGUUUGCACAGAUUCAGCAGCUUCAUUCAUGAUACAUGACUCUGUUUUGUACCGCAUUCAUAAAGAGUGCCAUUUAAAACACUACAGAAGAUUAGAAAAACACUUCUUGGUCAAAAAAUGGCUGUUUUAUUNGUCCUCAUUUAUCUAAUGUCUGUGUGUUUUGUAUCACUGUCUCAUAGAUGUUUUUCACUGCUUGUUUUCUUCCAGCAGGAUUAAAUCAUUCCUCCUGCCAACGAUUCCCAAACCGCGCAUCCCAGGGCUUGAAUCUGCUCUGCUGAAGAAGGGGAAGAUUGAUGAGAUCGAUCAGCAUUUCUCCAGUUUUCACAGCUAUAAGUCCCCCCAGUACUGCACGGAGACGUGGUACCAGGUGAGUGUGGACACGAGUCCGGCUGUGACGCCCAGCAGCAUCCAGUCUGACGGUAUACAAGAGGAUGUGCUGAUCACGCCAAUCAUACCGAUUGUGCCGAUCGGGCCAAUCACGCAGUACGUCACCUGCCCCAAUGGACAACAGUCUGUUCAGACCAGCUGCACUCCUAUGCCUUAUGUCCACGGCCCGGCCCCCUACUGUGAGAAAGACACACCCCCUCCAGUCCCUGGCCCCGCCCACCCGGAGCUCAUGUCUGUCCCAGGCAUGGACUAUAACAUGAUUUUAAACCACGCCCCCUACUGUGUGGAAGACACGCCCCCUCC
Molecule: long non-coding RNA, 1532 nt
Organism: Cyprinus carpio (common carp)
Lineage: Eukaryota; Metazoa; Chordata; Actinopteri; Cypriniformes; Cyprinidae
Source: Ensembl